Molecule: unclassified non-coding RNA, 267 nt
Filed under: uncultured fungus
Lineage: Eukaryota; Fungi
Description: sequence contains 5.8S rRNA gene
Source: RNAcentral
GAACGCAGCUGGCACUCUUUGGCUAUCCAAAGAGUAUACCUGUUUGAGUAUCAUGUACACCAUCUUUAAACCUCUUUGGUUUGAAGGAUUAUGAGUUUUACCCACCUUUGGGAGGGUCAACUUGAAAUGCAUGGUCAAACUGAAGACCAGAACCUUGCUAAUUGAAAUAAUUUGGCAUAAUUCUAGUCAUCAAAAGGUUUGACCCCAAAAACCAUAAUUUAAACAUUAUUGAUCUCAAAUCAGGCAGGAUUACCCGCUGAAUUUAAG